CUAACAUUGGUAAUUCAAUGAAUUUUCCCUUGUAAAAACAAAGUUUAGGUUGCUGAUUGAUUGAAAACGAAUUAGACAAAUAACUAGGGUCCAAGUUUGAAAUCGGACAAAAAGAGCGUCUAAAAUCAAUUAUUUUGAAUGUUACGGACAUCGAUAUUUCAAGGCCUAUAGCACGUUAUGCGUCUAUUUAUACCACUAUGAUAACUUAUAUGGCUUCAACAGACUCGAGGCAUUGUGUUUCCAUCAAAACCUGACCCUAUUAGCCCACCAAUAUGUCUCUGCACG
RNAcentral lists this long non-coding RNA (285 nucleotides) under Mytilus galloprovincialis (Mediterranean mussel). Lineage: Eukaryota; Metazoa; Mollusca; Bivalvia; Mytilida; Mytilidae. The record is from RNAcentral.